UGUGUUAUAGGUGAUUGUUGUUUUUAUUUUAAUAUAUUUGAUUGGUAUUAUGAGUGAUUGUUGUUGAGUUUCGAUAGUUUAUGAGGUACUGUUGAGGAAUUAUUUAUUUUUUAUUAAAUUUAGGUUGUUUGAUACCUUUUGUAUUAGGGUUCUUUUAUGUUAAUAUGUAUUGAUAGUUUCUCGAUAAAUAUCGGGCUAUUUUGUUAGUUUAGAUCUCGUUGUAUAGAGUCUUUUAUGAUAAAAUAGUUAUGAAAUAUUAUUCAAGUUAUUUUGUAUCUGGUUUUCUAAGAGGUAUAAUGUAGUGUAUGUUUAUGUUGAAGUUAUGCAGGGAUUAGCUUGUAUACUGUUUAUAUAAUAUUUUUGUUGUUAUUUAUUUGUGAUGUUGAAAGUUCUUAUUUUUAUGGUGUUAUUACUGAAUAAGUUUUGUAUAUUAUUUUUUUUAUUUGUGUUGCUAUUGGGGGUAUUGCGUUAAUUUUGGUUGUGAGGUUAUAAUGAUGAUAUUAGUAAUUUUUUAUUUAUUUUUGUUGGUUUGGAUUUAUUUUGGGGUGAGUUGUGAUAUUGAUUAGUGGUAAAGAAUUCGGCAAAGAUUAGCUUUUGACUGUUUAGCAAAAACAUUGUUUUUUGUUUGAAUAAGAAGUAAUUUCUGCCCACUGCUGUUACGGUAAAGGGCUGCAGUAUUUUGACUGUAUGAAGGUAGCAUAAUCAUUAGCUUUUUAAUUGAGAGCUGGUAUGAAGGGGAAACGGAAGUUUGCUGUUUUGUUACUAUUAAAUGAAUUUUAUUUUUAUGUGAAAAAUCAUAAGUGCAAUAAUGGGACAAGAAGACCCUAGUAAGUUUUAUUUUUUAUUGUAAUGCGUGCAUAGGUAGAUUUGUGUAACUUAUUAUAGGGGGUUUGGCUGGGGCGGCAGGUUAUUAAACUUGAUUUAUUAUUUAACUUUGUUGUUGGCGAUUUUUUGACCUAGUAUGGUUAGUUGAGUGAAAAAUUACUGUAGGGAUAACAGCGUAAUUUUUUUUAAGAGUUCUUAUUAACGAAAAAGUUUGCGACCUCGAU
Molecule: ribosomal RNA, 1049 nt
Filed under: Motyxia sequoia sequoia
Lineage: Eukaryota; Metazoa; Arthropoda; Diplopoda; Polydesmida; Xystodesmidae
Description: partial large subunit ribosomal RNA
Source: RNAcentral